GCUGAUUCCAAAACUUAAGGGUUUCCAAGGCAACCAGAAGGGGGAAAUUAAUCGACUGUAGUAACCGCAGUAGCUUUAAGAUGACCACAAAGGUUUUCUUGCCAGUGGCCCUUAAUCCACAUUCUGUGAUCUCUGGACUCCUACCGUUGAAUGAACCAGAUUCAGAAGUCCAUGGUGGUUUGCAUUUUGAAGGCUGACUGGUUACUGGUGUGUAUCAUGUGCUGGAGCAUAUAUACAGUGGGCCACUUCACCAAAGACUGUCCACUGUUCGACAGAACUGUCUAAAUUGUUUACCACAAAGGUAACCAGAGAUUGCACCAACAAUGGCACCUAAUUGGUCUAUGCCAGACAACUCCUGGUCAAUUAAAUGCAUAAUUCAUCUUGGCAUUAAUUAUUCAUCUCUUAAGGGACUGGUGCUGUGCUUUAUUAGGAGGACUGCAUCAUGCAUAUUCAAAUUCAUUUUCUUAGUGGGACGCAAUAGGAUAUCAUCUCAGCUGGGAGGCCCAUCCUAAAAACAAUACGACUGUAAGACAGCUUGUAUUGAUCGCACAACUAAACCAAAGAGGGUUUGCAAAGAGGAAGGUGUGUAAUGUCUCAUUUUUGUCACUCAGCAAACAUUACACUGUCUAACGGUUGCUGUAUAAUUAAUCUGUUAUUAUUGCUAACUCUCUUGUGUUUAGAUAAUGUUAUUUUUAAAUAAUAGUCAUGUCACUGUAAAAUUGUCUGUUAAUUUAAAAAAAUCAACACUAUAUGCCAUUGUGUUUAGUCUACACAUUGUGUUUUGUAGUGGUAUUCCUCCACUGUUACUGCACAAUUCCUCCUGUGUCUUGUCGAGAAGAGAAGCAAGGGGAAAGUUUACUUUAAUACACUUAAAAGUUAAUGCCACCCACUUUAAAAACCACAAUUUCUACAGUAAUCACUGUGCCCUGGUGGUUAAGUCAAUACUUCACAUUCACUCUAGAGAUUGAAAAGUGAAUGUUUCAUGAUGUGAGGUCACUUUGAUGUACUGCUCAAUAGAUAUAGAUACUAUAUAGGGCACAGCCUUUGUUGACCCAUAAGGUUUUUGUGUGAGUUAUUGCACCCAAAGGAUUUUUACAUACUAGAGAAGGAGGACUUAUCUGUUAGCAUUAGGUCACGGUUUUGAACAGAAGACUGAAGCAGCAAUAACAUUUUUUACCACUAGGUGGAGGCUUUUUCAGGAUUUUGUUUGAGGCGCUGCUCCACAAAAUAACUGUAAUCAACACAGGCAGAGAAUAAUGUACAGACACUGUCUCUCUUUUUUAAAUUAUCAGUGAAUGUUUAUUGUACAGCAACCACCAUAAAAUGUAUAAUAUGAAUAUAAAAUGCAUAUUGUUUUCUAUUUCUCUGAUUAAAAGCACCCAACUGGAACAAAAUUUUUAUUUAAUUUCAUAUUUUAUGCAGAAUAUACAGGCCUCUACAUGGAUGGAUUUGUCUUGUUUGUUGAUGGCAUGGUUGCAGAUAUUGCUCAGUGGAUAGUCUUCAUAAUAUAAAAACUCAAUACAUUGCCUGGCAAGCUGCUGGAGACACUAAUGAAUCACACAGUAUGGGAUUAAGGGUGCGCAUAAAAUAAGCGAAAUUCUAACAAAAGAACAAAAAUGCCUGUAUAAAUAGAUCAUAAGGAAAAAGAUAGAAAAUACAGUAUACUACUUUCCACAAUUUGUGUGUCACUUUGUCAUCUUAUUUACAGAUAGAAGAUAGAACACAGAAAAGUUCAUCUUACUUUUGCUUUUUCAUAUAUAUAUAUUUAAGGUUUUAUCCAUUC
Molecule: long non-coding RNA, 1783 nt
Organism: Thunnus maccoyii (southern bluefin tuna)
Lineage: Eukaryota; Metazoa; Chordata; Actinopteri; Scombriformes; Scombridae
Exons: 3
Source: RefSeq, a predicted model, not a curated record